RNAcentral lists this ribosomal RNA (526 nucleotides) under Escherichia coli. RNAcentral describes it as "partial 23S ribosomal RNA". It matches the Rfam family "Bacterial large subunit ribosomal RNA", at positions 418 to 945 of the family's 2925-position model. Lineage: Bacteria; Pseudomonadati; Pseudomonadota; Gammaproteobacteria; Enterobacterales; Enterobacteriaceae. The record is from RNAcentral.
CGGGACACGUGGUAUCCUGUCUGAAUAUGGGGGGACCAUCCUCCAAGGCUAAAUACUCCUGACUGACCGAUAGUGAACCAGUACCGUGAGGGAAAGGCGAAAAGAACCCCGGCGAGGGGAGUGAAAAAGAACCUGAAACCGUGUACGUACAAGCAGUGGGAGCACGCUUAGGCGUGUGACUGCGUACCUUUUGUAUAAUGGGUCAGCGACUUAUAUUCUGUAGCAAGGUUAACCGAAUAGGGGAGCCGAAGGGAAACCGAGUCUUAACUGGGCGUUAAGUUGCAGGGUAUAGACCCGAAACCCGGUGAUCUAGCCAUGGGCAGGUUGAAGGUUGGGUAACACUAACUGGAGGACCGAACCGACUAAUGUUGAAAAAUUAGCGGAUGACUUGUGGCUGGGGGUGAAAGGCCAAUCAAACCGGGAGAUAGCUGGUUCUCCCCGAAAGCUAUUUAGGUAGCGCCUCGUGAAUUCAUCUCCGGGGGUAGAGCACUGUUUCGGCAAGGGGGUCAUCCCGACUUACCAACCC